RNAcentral lists this ribosomal RNA (253 nucleotides) under uncultured bacterium. Its description in RNAcentral is "partial 16S ribosomal RNA". It matches the Rfam family "Bacterial small subunit ribosomal RNA", at positions 524 to 776 of the family's 1533-position model. The record is from RNAcentral.
GACAGAGGGUGCAAACGUUGCUCGGAAUCACUGGGCGUAAAGGGCGUGUAGGCGGGAAGAUAAGUCGGGCGUGAAAUCCCUGGGCUCAACCCAGGAACUGCACUCGAAACUGUUUUUCUUGAGUGUCGGAGAGGAAAGCGGAAUUCCUGGUGUAGAGGUGAAAUUCGUAGAUAUCAGGAGGAACACCAGCGGCGAAGGCGGCUUUCUGGACGAUAACUGACGCUGAGACGCGAAAGCGUGGGGAGCAAACAGG